GCCGGGUGCGGUGGCUCAAGCCUGUAAUCCCAGCACUUAGGGAGGCCGAGACGGGCGGAUCACGAGGUCAGGAGAUCGAGACCAUCCUGGCUAACACGGUGAAACCCCGUCUCUAGUAGAGACGGGGUUUCACCGUGUUAGCCAGGAUGGUCUCGAUCUCCUGACCUCGUGAUCCGCCCGUCUCGG
This 186-nucleotide non-coding RNA is filed under the name Chlorocebus sabaeus (green monkey). The record is from Rfam by way of RNAcentral. Lineage: Eukaryota; Metazoa; Chordata; Mammalia; Primates; Cercopithecidae.